RNAcentral lists this unclassified non-coding RNA (518 nucleotides) under uncultured Glomus. RNAcentral's name for it is "SSU rRNA". It matches the Rfam family "Eukaryotic small subunit ribosomal RNA", at positions 569 to 1093 of the family's 1831-position model. The record is from RNAcentral. Lineage: Eukaryota; Fungi; Glomeromycota; Glomeromycetes; Glomerales; Glomeraceae.
AGCAGCCGCGGUAAUUCCAGCUCCAAUAGCGUAUAUUAAAGUUGCUGCAGUUAAAAGCUCGUAGUUGAAUUUCGGGACUAAUAUGUCGGUCGUGCCUCGGUACGUACUGGUUUAUUGGUUUCUCCUUUCUGAAGAACCAUGAUGUCAUUUAUUUGGUGUCGUGGGGAAUCAGGACUGUUACUUUGAAAAAUUAGAGUGUUUAAAGCAGGCUCACGCUUGAAUACAUUAGCAUGGAAUAAUGAAAUAGGACGUUUGAUUCUAUUUUGUUGGUUUCUAGGAUCGACGUAAUGAUUAAUAGGGAUAGUUGGGGGCAUUAGUAUUCAAUUGUCAGAGGUGAAACUCUUGGAUUUAUUGAAGACUAACUACUGCGAAAACAUUUGCCAAGGAUGUUUUCAUUAAUCAAGAACGAAAGUUAGGGAUCGAAGACGAUCAGAUACCGUCGUAGUCUUAACCAUAAACUAUGCCGACUAGGGAUCGGAUGAUGUUAAUUUUUUAAUGACUCAUUCGGCGCCUUAACC